Molecule: ribosomal RNA, 675 nt
Filed under: Triticum aestivum (bread wheat)
Lineage: Eukaryota; Viridiplantae; Streptophyta; Magnoliopsida; Poales; Poaceae
Description: partial small subunit ribosomal RNA
Source: RNAcentral
AUGCACACAAAAAUACAAGCACCAACAGCAGCUGCUGUGAGUGGGGGUGCAGGCAUCGAGGCAGUGAAUGAUGAUGCUACUUCUGGAAAUGAGACUGGGAACAGACACACUGGUUUAUUGGCGCCGAAGAAAUGGAAAGAAAUGGGGCGCCCAACAACCAGCCGGGAGAAGGCACCGUACGAGGGACUCAGCAAGCGGACAAUGUUCUGCAGCAUAUGUCGGCAGCAGGGGCACAAGAGGACUACAUGCCUGGACCGGGGAGAUGCCCCGAAGCCUGUUUGUAAACCAGCAAGGUGCAAGAAUUGUGGGAUUGAAGGUCACAGACGGAACAACUGCCAGAAAUUGGGUGAUUUACGGAUGAUUGGCUUAAUUAUAGGUACCACCAUUUCUGAGCACUAUGGUGGUGUGUAUGCUUCUGAAUUUUUGGGCAAUAAGUUGGAGUUCAUAAUUGGAAAAUAUAAUAAAAAUGUACUGAGGUAUCUGAUGCAUCUGAAAAGUUCACUCAACCAGCCUGACGGAGGAGAACUAGCUGCUAGUUCAUCAAGGAGUGUCUGCAGUGGUUGGGCAGCGGACGGCGCGUGCAAACGAGGAACUGCAAGCGGAGAAGAUAGGGGAUGGAUGUAUAUCGCGAGGAAGAAGAUGGGUAGACUGGUGGUGGGUGCUGGUCCACAAUAA